This 134-nucleotide small RNA is filed under the name Bacillus massilinigeriensis. Its description in RNAcentral is "Ribosomal protein L10 leader". It matches the Rfam family "Ribosomal protein L10 leader". Rfam says of the family: This family is a putative r-protein leader autoregulatory structure found in B. subtilis and other low-GC Gram-positive bacteria. It is located in the 5' untranslated regions of mRNAs encoding ribosomal proteins L10 and L12 (rplJ-rplL). A Rho-independent transcription terminator structure that is probably involved in regulation is included at the 3' end. The record is from RNAcentral. Lineage: Bacteria; Bacillati; Bacillota; Bacilli; Caryophanales; Bacillaceae.
UUUAAUAACAUUUGUACCGUAGACAGUAGGUGUCAGAUUAGACUUAAUUUCCUACCGAGGUAAUACGAUAGAUUUUUAGGAUUGAUCUUAUUGUAUAUAACCUCCAUGUCUCGUUUGAUGUGGAGGUUUUUAUU